GGGACGAAGCCACUCGGGUUAAUAGCCCAGAGGGUGACGGUACCUCCAGAAGAAGCCCCGGCUAACUACGUGCCAGCAGCCGCGGUAAUACGUAGGGGGCAAGCGUUGUCCGGAUUUAUUGGGCGUAAAGAGCGUGUAGGCGGUUCGAUAGGUCUGCUGUGAAAACUCCAGGCUCAACCUGGAGCCGUCGGUGGAAACCAUCGAACUAGAGUCCGGAAGAGGAGAGUGGAAUUCCUGGUGUAGCGGUGAAAUGCGCAGAUAUCAGGAAGAACACCCGUGGCGAAGGCGGCUCUCUGGGACGGUACUGACGCUGAGACGCGAAAGCGUGGGGAGCGAACAGGAUUAGAUACCCUGGUAGUCCACGCCGUAAACGAUGGGUGCUAGGUGUGGGCGGUGUCGACUCCGUCCGUGCCGAAGCUAACGCAUUAAGCACCCCGCCUGGGGAGUACGGCCGCAAGGCUAAAACUCAAAGGAAUUGACGGGGGCCCGCACAAGCAGCGGAGCAUGUUGUUUAAUUCGACGCGAUGCGAAGAACCUUACCAGGGCUUGACAUGCACUGGAAUGUCGUGGAAACACGGCAGCCCUUCGGGGCCAGUGCACAGGUGGUGCAUGGCUGUCGU
This 620-nucleotide ribosomal RNA is filed under the name uncultured bacterium. RNAcentral's name for it is "bacterial SSU rRNA". It matches the Rfam family "Bacterial small subunit ribosomal RNA", at positions 442 to 1055 of the family's 1533-position model. The record is from RNAcentral.